UACAGAGGGGGCAAGCGUUGUUCGGAAUUACUGGGCGUAAAGGGCGCGUAGGCGGCCUUCUAAGUCGAACGUGAAAUCCCCGGGCUCAACCCGGGAACUGCGUCCGACACUGGAAGGCUUGAAUCCGGGAGAGGGAUGCGGAAUUCCAGGUGUAGCGGUGAAAUGCGUAGAUAUCUGGAGGAACACCGGUGGCGAAGGCGGCAUCCUGGACCGGCAUUGACGCUGAGGCGCGAAAGCCAGGGGAGCAAACGGG
This 253-nucleotide ribosomal RNA is filed under the name uncultured bacterium. RNAcentral describes it as "partial 16S ribosomal RNA". It matches the Rfam family "Bacterial small subunit ribosomal RNA", at positions 524 to 776 of the family's 1533-position model. The record is from RNAcentral.